This 738-nucleotide long non-coding RNA is filed under the name Pan troglodytes (chimpanzee). RNAcentral's name for it is "long non-coding RNA NONPTRT003127". Lineage: Eukaryota; Metazoa; Chordata; Mammalia; Primates; Hominidae. The record is from RNAcentral.
CCCGGAAGUAGCGUUGCGCGCGCAGAGGAUGGGCGCUGAGCAGCACACAGCCCGCGGCGGGGUCUCAGGAUCCGCGGCGCUGCCCGGGGCCGGGGGAAGGAAGCCAGCCGAGGAGACGCACGUGCCCUGAGUCCGGGAGCGGGGAGCCUCUUCAUCUCUCCAUCCUCCCUCCGCGCGCGCCCUCAGCCGUCCUCGUCCGCUCACCAUGCACCUCCCCCCCAAGAAAGGACCACAUGCGUGCCAGGGACGUGAGCCCCGGCCACAGGGACAUAGCAGCCUAGAAGGUAUACCAGGAACACUUAAUCAACAUCCUGCAUGGUUCCAGCAAAGACGUUAAGACAGUUGGGACUGUUGGUGAGGACAGAUGAUCUUCACAAACCCUCUGACUCUAAGAGCCUGGGAGACCUGCUGGAGUUUACCCCACAUUCCCUUAAUUAAAAAGCCAUUAAAAUAGUCAACUUUGCUGGGCACGGUGGCUCGCGUCUGUAAUUCCAGCAAUUUGGGAGGUCAAGGCAGGAGGAUUGCUUGAGCCCAAGAGUUAAGACCAGCCUGGGCAACAUGGUGAGAGCCCAUCUCUACAAAAAAUUCAAAAAAUUAGCAAGGCAUGGUGGUGCACACCUGUGGUCCCAGCUACUUGGGAGGCUGAGGUUGCAGUAAGCCGAGACUGAGCCACUGCACUCCAACCUGGGCAACAGAGUGAGACCCUGUCUCAAUAAUAAUAAUCCCUUUAGCAGGCUU